This is a long non-coding RNA of Nomascus leucogenys (northern white-cheeked gibbon), 1039 nucleotides long. RefSeq lists it as uncharacterized. NCBI's taxonomy places the organism in Eukaryota, Metazoa, Chordata, Mammalia, Primates, Hylobatidae. The record is from RefSeq and is a predicted model, not a curated record. The transcript has 2 exons.
CCUGACCUCAGGUGAUCCACCCCCUUCGGCCUCCCAAAGUUUGACCACACCCAGCCCAUAAUAGAUUUUUUAAACUCCUAUAAAUAUCAUUCUAUUUCCCCUUAUUGCUAAAAUGAGAGCUUUUUCAUCCAGUUUUUUGGGUGUGUUCCAAAUAUUUUGUUAAAUUUCCCAUCUACUGCUGUUAUUGUUUCCAUUUUAUUUGCCCAUGUGAGUUGAUACCUUUUUCAUUCCUUUCCUAUAGCUUUAGUGACGUUGUGGGAAGGGAAGUUAGGCAGCAGACAACAAAUUACCUUCUGUGACUGUAUGGCAAGGUCAGAUGCAUCAUUCCUUGCUAGGCGAAGGGAAGGUAUAAUACUUAAACUAUAUUUUUAAAAAUAAAAGUAUUCCCUUUUGAGUGUGAAUUAGGAAUCAAUGCACCUUCUCACUACUCUUGUGAAAAAAAUCACAGCUCCUGCAGCAAGUCUAUGCCUGGGUAACAACUAACCCACAAAAUCCAAGAAGAGGUCCCCCUCUCCCGCCUCUGUGAGGCCUGCGGAGCAGUAUGUAUCUGGGCCAGCCUGGUCCUCAGAGUGUGGAAUUAACACCUUUCCUCUAGCAACUGUCUGUGCUGCUAAGAACAGCACAGACUCUCUGGCAGCCUGGUUCUCUCCAGGGGGAAGCCUGUGAAGCAGAAGAAACAUAUGGCAUCUGCACUCAGGGCGCCCAGUUCCAUCCGGCCUCGCUAUAAAAUGACUUUGCCUUUCCUGUUUUAAAAUUACAAAAAUAAUUCAACCAAUACAUAAACAUAUGAAGUGAAUCACGGAGGGCCUUCCUGCAAUAUCUUUUUUUGCCUACCAUUUGUCAUGGAAUGGGUAAAGGGGACCACAGAGGGAAGAGACGCUGCCCCUUUGCAGGGCCAUGGCAGUCCCCUGGGCUGUGUCUCUGCGGAGCCUCCUGUGAAACGCUGUUACCACGAGCACCGCACUGGAGACCAUGAAAGGGAAGAGUUUGACAUCUCAGCUGUCUUUGCUAUAAAUAGAAAUAAAUAAAACUUAACUAA